CAUGAAACUUACAACCAUAUAGUGGAUAUUAAUCAUAUCUUAAUCAGUUCGAUUACUAUUGUUUAUAUUCCAUGUUUAUGUCCAAAAAAUCGAAUGCGAUUCGAUCUUUCUCUGUUUGUGUUGCUAACCAGUUGGAUUUUGUGUUAAUUCAUAAAUUUCAAACUAACCCAUUUCUGGUUAAAAAUAUAAGACCCUUUCAUUAAUUAGAAUGAGAUUGAGAGAUAUGAAUUACGAAUUUACUCAAGACAUGUCAUAAAUGAUAAAAGAAAGAGGGAAAUCAAUUUGUGAGAUAACGAGGCGAGUUGUGAAUUAUUUCAAGACUCAUUGAAAAUUUGAAAAAAAA
RNAcentral lists this long non-coding RNA (343 nucleotides) under Capsicum annuum. RNAcentral describes it as "long non-coding RNA (CANN_LNC003896)". The record is from RNAcentral. Lineage: Eukaryota; Viridiplantae; Streptophyta; Magnoliopsida; Solanales; Solanaceae.